This 72-nucleotide transfer RNA is filed under the name Candidatus Hydrothermarchaeota archaeon. Its description in RNAcentral is "tRNA-Gly". It matches the Rfam family "tRNA". Rfam says of the family: Transfer RNA (tRNA) molecules are approximately 80 nucleotides in length. Their secondary structure includes four short double-helical elements and three loops (D, anti-codon, and T loops). The record is from RNAcentral. Lineage: Archaea; Methanobacteriati; Candidatus Hydrothermarchaeota.
GCGACCUUAGUCUAGUGGUUAGGACUCAAGCUUGCCAAGCUUGUAACGCGGGUUCAAAUCCCGCAGGUCGCA